UAACUGGCUCCUUUGGGAGCCAUGUUUUAUAUUGAAGAGGUAUUUUU
Non-coding RNA from Thermoanaerobacterales bacterium 50_218, 47 nucleotides. The record is from Rfam. NCBI's taxonomy places the organism in Bacteria, Bacillati, Bacillota, Clostridia, Thermoanaerobacterales.